This 460-nucleotide ribosomal RNA is filed under the name uncultured bacterium. RNAcentral describes it as "partial 16S ribosomal RNA". It matches the Rfam family "Bacterial small subunit ribosomal RNA", at positions 338 to 795 of the family's 1533-position model. The record is from RNAcentral.
CCUACGGGGGGCAGCAGUGAGGAAUAUUGGUCAAUGGACGAGAGUCUGAACCAGCCAAGUAGCGUGAAGGAUGACUGCCCUAUGGGUUGUAAAUUUCUUUUAUAUGGGAAUAAAAUGUUCCAUGUGUGGGAUUUUGUAUGUAGCAUAUGAAUAAGGAUCGGCUAACUCCGUGCCAGAAGCCGCGGUAAUACGGAGGAUCCUAGCGUUAUCCGGAUUUAUUGGGUUUAAAGGGAGCGUAGGUGGAUUGAUAAGUCAGUUGUGAAAGUUUGCGGCUCAACCGGAAAAUUGCAGUUGAAACUGGCAGUCGUGAGUACAGUAGAGGUGGGCGGAAUUCGUGGUGUAGCGGUGAAAUGCUUAGAUAUCACGAAGAACUCCGAUUGCGAAGGCAGUUCACUGGACUGCAACUGACACUGAGGCUCGAAAGUGUGGGGAUCAAACAGGAUUAGAUACCCGAGUAGUC